Molecule: ribosomal RNA, 460 nt
Filed under: uncultured bacterium
Lineage: Bacteria
Description: partial 16S ribosomal RNA
Rfam family: Bacterial small subunit ribosomal RNA
Source: RNAcentral
CCUACGGGUGGCAGCAGUGAGGAAUAUUGGUCAAUGGCCGUAAGGCUGAACCAGCCAAGUAGCGUGAAGGAAGAAGGACCUAUGGGUUGUAAACUUCUUUUAUAGGGGAAUAAAGGUAUCCACGUGUGGAUUUUUGCAUGUACCUUAUGAAUAAGCAUCGGCUAACUCCGUGCCAGCAGCCGCGGUAAUACGGAGGAUGCGAGCGUUAUCCGGAUUUAUUGGGUUUAAAGGGUGCGUAGGUUGGUUUUUAAGUCAGCUGUGAAAGUUUGUGGCUCAACCAUAAAAUUGCCGUUGAAACUGGCAGACUUGAGUGUGUUUGAGGUAGGCGGAAUGCGUGGUGUAGCGGUGAAAUGCAUAGAUAUCACGCAGAACUCCGAUUGCGAAGGCAGCUUACUAAGCCAUAACUGACACUGAAGCACGAAAGCGUGGGGAUCAAACAGGAUUAGAUACCCCUGUAGUC